Molecule: small nuclear RNA, 156 nt
Organism: Gracilinanus agilis (Agile Gracile Mouse Opossum)
Lineage: Eukaryota; Metazoa; Chordata; Mammalia; Didelphimorphia; Didelphidae
Product: U1 spliceosomal RNA
Exons: 1
Source: RefSeq, a predicted model, not a curated record
GACCUUACUUUAUCUGUAAUUCCAUGAUCAUGAAGGUGGUUUCCCCAGGGUGAGGCUUACCCAUUGCAUUCCAGAUGGGCUGAUCCUUGCAAUUUCCCCAAAUUAAGAGAAUUUGACCACAUAAUUUGUAGUAGUGGUGCAUUGUAGGUGGUACCU